GAUGAACGCUGGCUACAGGCUUAACACAUGCGAGUCGAGGGGAAACGACGGGGAAGCUUGCUUCCCCGGGCGUCGACCGGCGCACGGGUGAGUAACGCGUAUCCAACCUGCCUCUGACUGAGGGAUAACCCGUCGAAAGUCGGCCUAAUACCUCAUGGCAUCGUCUGCGGGCAUCCAACGACGAUUAAAGAUUUCAUCGGUCAGGGAUGGGGAUGCGUCUGAUUAGCUUGUUGGCGGGGUAACGGCCCACCAAGGCUACGAUCAGUAGGGGUUCUGAGAGGAAGGUCCCCCACAUUGGAACUGAGACACGGUCCAAACUCCUACGGGAGGCAGCAGUGAGGAAUAUUGGUCAAUGGGCGGGAGCCUGAACCAGCCAAGUAGCGUGCAGGAUGACGGCCCUAUGGGUUGUAAACUGCUUUUAUGCGGGGAUAAAGUGAGGGACGUGUCCUUCAUUGCAGGUACCGCAUGAAUAAGGACCGGCUAAUUCCGU
Molecule: ribosomal RNA, 490 nt
Filed under: uncultured bacterium
Lineage: Bacteria
Description: partial 16S ribosomal RNA
Rfam family: Bacterial small subunit ribosomal RNA
Source: RNAcentral